This 1570-nucleotide long non-coding RNA is filed under the name Gadus morhua (Atlantic cod). Its description in RNAcentral is "lncRNA (ENSGMOG00000031156.1)". The record is from RNAcentral. Lineage: Eukaryota; Metazoa; Chordata; Actinopteri; Gadiformes; Gadidae.
AUUCCUUUCAUAAUGUCAAAAUCCAAGGUAAUUAUAUUGGUUCAACAGUCAACAGUACGAUAACCCUCAAUAGCGUUUCAUCUCUAAUGUAGAACUAGACACAUCCACUUUGAGAUGUGUUAAAAGGUUGAUUAUCUUUUUUUAUUGCCAUCAAUGACUGCUGGCUCAUUCUAUUAUUGUGCGCAUGUGAAUACACUUCAAACUUGGGGGGCUGUUUUUUAACUAACAAUUAUCUUUCCAAUGUCAGCCCUUCCUCAGUCUGUAUUGACGGCGAGCGCGUCAACCAUCGGAGAGGAAGAGUCCGUUACACUUCAGUGUUCGGCAAGGGCAGGGGAUCCUCCUAAAAAAUGUUGGUUUUACCUGAUUAGUCCAAACGGCGAAAAGAACCUUGCCUUCGAAUGCCAGGCGACAUUUACAGGCUCUGUGCUCCUGGCAGAGAACUUUGCUCUCGCUGAGGUGAAGGUUCGGUGUUAUUACACCAACGAUCGGGGUGAGCCUGCUCCACACAGCGACAUCGUGUCUAUCACUGUAGCAAGAGCCCUUCCUCAGUCUCUAUUAACGGCGAGCGCGUCUUCCAUCAGAGAGGAAGAGUCGGUAACACUUCAGUGUUCGGCAAAGGCAGGGCACCCUCCUAGAAAAUGUUUGAUUUUCCUGAUAAGACCCACUCAGGGCCAAAAAAACAUCGCCUUUGAAUGCCAGGAGACAUUUACAGGCUCUGACCUCCUGAGAGAGAACUGGUCUCUCGCUGAGGUGAAGGUUGGGUGUUUUUACACCAACGAUCGGUGGAAACCUCCGACUGCUCCACACAGCGACAUCUUGUCAAUCACUGUAAGAAGAGCCCUUCCUCAGUCUGUAUUGACGGCGAGCGCGUCAUCCAUCAGAGAGGAAGAGUCGGUAACAGUUCAGUGUUCGGCAAAGGAAGGAGACACUCCUAAAAAAUGUUAUAUUUACUGGUUUAUUCAAGCGAAGGAGCAAAACAAAAUCGCCUUCGACUGCCAGGCAACAUAUACAGGCUCUGACCUCUUGACACGUACCGGGGCUCUUGCUGAGGUGAAGCUUCGGUGUUUUUACACCACCGAUCGGGAUGAACCUGCUCCACACAGCGACAUCGUGUCUAUCACUGUAAGAAGAGGUGAGUUACUACCAUACACAUUUGAUGCUCUGUUCUUAUACAGUGAUGCUUUGCAUGUAUGUAUAUGUGUAUAUAUAUAUAUAUAUAUGUGUAUAUAUAUAUAUAUAUUAUCCCCGCGUCACCCGGAAGUGACGAUUCUGUCGACCAAUCCACGGAGGGGGGGUGUAGCUAGAAUUUCACGGGACCCUUUCAGGCGUCUGGUCUCGUUUUGGGUACCGCAACGGAGGAGUCCCGAGAAUGGGGCCGGAACGGGUACGGCAAAGUCCGGGUCACGCCCACUUUUGGCGGUGGAAACGCGACCUGACCCGCACCUUUGCGAUCCGAUCCGUUCCGCACCCUGCAGUGGAAACGCGCUAUUAGACUGAGCGGCAAUGAGGUCAGAGCGGGUUUGUUUGUUAUCGACAGCGUUGCCAGAUUGGGUAAAUUUCCCGCCAAAUG